GUAGGUGGCAAGCGUUGUCCGGAAUUAUUGGGCGUAAAGCGCGCGCAGGCGGUUCCUUAAGUCUGAUGUGAAAGCCCACGGCUCAACCGUGGAGGGUCAUUGGAAACUGGAGAACUUGAGUACAGAAGAGGAAAGCGGAAUUCCACGUGUAGCGGUGAAAUGCGUAGAGAUGUGGAGGAACACCAGUGGCGAAGGCGGCUUUCUGGUCUGUAACUGACGCUGAGGCGCGAAAGCGUGGGGAGCAAACAGGGAUUAGAUACCCUGGUAGUCCACGCCGUAAACGAUGAGUGCUAAGUGUUAGGGGGUUUCCGCCCCCUUAGUGCUGCAGCUAACGCAUUAAGCACUCCGCCUGGGGAGUACGGCCGCAAGGCUA
Molecule: ribosomal RNA, 373 nt
Filed under: uncultured organism
Description: partial 16S ribosomal RNA
Rfam family: Bacterial small subunit ribosomal RNA
Source: RNAcentral